This 465-nucleotide ribosomal RNA is filed under the name uncultured bacterium. RNAcentral's name for it is "partial 16S ribosomal RNA". It matches the Rfam family "Bacterial small subunit ribosomal RNA", at positions 338 to 795 of the family's 1533-position model. The record is from RNAcentral.
CCUACGUGGUGCAGCAGUGGGGAAUAUUGCGCAAUGGGCGAAAGCCUGACGCAGCGACGCCGCGUGAGGGAUGAAGGUCUUCGGAUCGUAAACCUCUGUCAGCAGGGAAGAACGGUCACUGUGCUAAUCAGCAGUGAAUUGACGGUACCUGCAAAGGAAGCACCGGCUAACUCCGUGCCAGCAGCCGCGGUAAUACGGAGGGUGCGAGCGUUAAUCGGAAUUACUGGGCGUAAAGCGCUCGUAGGCGGUAUGUCAAGUCAAGGGUGAAAUCCCCGCGCUCAACGUGGGAACUGCCUUUGAAACUGGCAAACUGGAGUGUGGGAGAGGAUAGUGGAAUUCCAGGUGUAGGAGUGAAAUCCGUAGAUAUCUGGAGGAACAUCAGUGGCGAAGGCGACUAUCUGGCACAUAACUGACGCUGAGGAGCGAAAGCGUGGGUAGCAAACAGGAUUAGAUACCCCAGUAGUC